AGAAUCAACGCUGGCGGCGUGCCUCAGACAUGCAAGUCGAACGAUUAAAGCUCUCUUCGGAGAGUGUAUAGAGUGGCGCACGGGUGAGUAACACGUAAGUAAUCUACCUUUGAGUGGGGAAUAACAAUCGGAAACGAUUGCUAAUACCGCAUAAUGCAGCGGCACCGCAAGGUGACAGUUGUUAAAGGAGCAAUCCGCUUAAAGAGGAGCUUGCGGCGAGUAUACGAGUUAGGUUAGGUAAAGUAGUCGGUACCUUAA
This 258-nucleotide ribosomal RNA is filed under the name uncultured soil bacterium. Its description in RNAcentral is "partial 16S ribosomal RNA". It matches the Rfam family "Bacterial small subunit ribosomal RNA", at positions 26 to 277 of the family's 1533-position model. The record is from RNAcentral.